UCCCUGGUGGUCUAAGCGGCUAAGGAUCCUGUGCUCACACCGCCAUGGGUUGGGUUUGAUUCCCGGGCAGGGAA
Molecule: non-coding RNA, 74 nt
Organism: Pangasianodon gigas (Mekong giant catfish)
Lineage: Eukaryota; Metazoa; Chordata; Actinopteri; Siluriformes; Pangasiidae
Source: the annotation of a GenBank genome assembly